This 401-nucleotide long non-coding RNA is filed under the name Heterocephalus glaber (naked mole-rat). Its description in RNAcentral is "lncRNA (ENSHGLG00100032667.2)". The record is from RNAcentral. Lineage: Eukaryota; Metazoa; Chordata; Mammalia; Rodentia; Bathyergidae.
CUAGAACUUGAGGCGAUCCUCUGCCUCAGCCUCCUGAGUGCUGAGUUACAGGGAUUGAACUCGGAACCUUGUGUUUGCGAGGCAGGUGCCAGAACUACUGAGCUAAAUCCCCGGGCCCAACCUUCCAGUUUUCAUCUGAUGCUCCUAACAACUCCUUGAGACAGACAGAGACCAACAAGAAGCCAAAAGCUCUGCAAAAAAAGGGACCCCUCAUCUUCAGCCUCUUGCCAUCCCCCUUGCAUGAAUGAAUCUUGUCCAAGAACUGGGAGAAACUUCAGAGGGGAAGCUCGCAUGUUGUUGGAGUUCAUCUAAAAACAACCAAACAAUCAAAAAUACUGCAAGCGGGGAUUCCCCAUCCAUGGGAAAAAGAAUAUUAAAGUUCACUUCAACUGUGGGCCAAA